UGAGCCCUAUGCACCCCCAUACCG
RNAcentral lists this non-coding RNA (24 nucleotides) under Rattus norvegicus (Norway rat). The record is from RNAcentral. Lineage: Eukaryota; Metazoa; Chordata; Mammalia; Rodentia; Muridae.